UACGUAGGUGGCAAGCGUUGUCCGGAAUCAUUGGGCGUAAAGCGCGUGUAGGCGGCUUUGCAAGUCGGGUGUGAAAGCCCUCAGCUCAACUGAGGAAGUGCGCCCGAAACUGCAGAGCUUGAGUACCGGAGAGGAUGGCGGAAUUCCCCAAGUAGAGGUGAAAUUCGUAGAUAUGGGGAGGAACACCGGUGGCGAAGGCGGCCAUCUGGACGGAUACUGACGCUGAGACGCGAAAGCGUGGGGAGCAAACAGG
This 253-nucleotide ribosomal RNA is filed under the name uncultured bacterium. RNAcentral describes it as "partial 16S ribosomal RNA". It matches the Rfam family "Bacterial small subunit ribosomal RNA", at positions 524 to 776 of the family's 1533-position model. The record is from RNAcentral.